UGGGGAAUUUUGGACAAUGGGCGAAAGCCUGAUCCAGCAAUGCCGCGUGUGUGAAGAAGGCCUUCGGGUUGUAAAGCACUUUUGUCCGGAAAGAAAUCCUUGGCUCUAAUACAGUCGGGGGAUGACGGUACCGGAAGAAUAAGCACCGGCUAACUACGUGCCAGCAGCCGCGGUAAUACGUAGGGUGCAAGCGUUAAUCGGAAUUACUGGGCGUAAAGCGUGCGCAGGCGGUUUGCUAAGACCGAUGUGAAAUCCCCGGGCUCAACCUGGGAACUGCAUUGGUGACUGGCAGGCUAGAGUAUGGCAGAGGGGGGUAGAAUUCCACGUGUAGCAGUGAAAUGCGUAGAGAUGUGGAGGAAUACCGAUGGCGAAGGCAGCCCCCUGGGCCAAUACUGACGCUCAUGCACGAAAGCGUGGGGGAGCAAACAGGAUUAGAUACCCUGGUAGUCCACGCCCUAAACGAUGUCAACUAGUUGUUGGGGAUUCAUUUCCUUAGUAACGUAGCUAACGCGUGAAGUUGACCGCCUGGGGAGUACGGUCGCAAGAUUAAAACUCAAAUGAAUUGACGGGGUC
Molecule: ribosomal RNA, 573 nt
Filed under: uncultured bacterium
Lineage: Bacteria
Description: partial 16S ribosomal RNA
Rfam family: Bacterial small subunit ribosomal RNA
Source: RNAcentral